CCACCUUAGUUGGUUCUGCGAACAUUUCGACUGGCAAUUCGAGCUGCCCCUUUAGACCCAUAUCAAUGGCAAUCUUUGGAGUCAUCUUGGAGAUAUCGACUUUAGGAUACAGUUUUUUAAUCAGAUUCAGACAUUGAUAGAACCCGUAGUCAUAUUCCCUCUCCGAGCUUUCAGCUACUUUCUCCUCAAAUUCUUCGGAGGCUUUGUACAGCUCCACUACCUUGGCUGCCC
This 231-nucleotide long non-coding RNA is filed under the name Elaeis guineensis (African oil palm). RNAcentral describes it as "long non-coding RNA (EGUI_LNC030549)". Lineage: Eukaryota; Viridiplantae; Streptophyta; Magnoliopsida; Arecales; Arecaceae. The record is from RNAcentral.